RNAcentral lists this ribosomal RNA (367 nucleotides) under Poriella subacida. Its description in RNAcentral is "partial 28S ribosomal RNA". It matches the Rfam family "Eukaryotic large subunit ribosomal RNA", at positions 1 to 361 of the family's 3401-position model. Lineage: Eukaryota; Fungi; Basidiomycota; Agaricomycetes; Polyporales; Polyporaceae. The record is from RNAcentral.
UGACCUCAAAUCAGGUAGGACUACCCGCUGAACUUAAGCAUAUCAAUAAGCGGAGGAAAAGAAACUAACAAGGAUUCCCCUAGUAACUGCGAGUGAAGCGGGAAAAGCUCAAAUUUAAAAUCUGGCGGUCUUCGGCCGUCCGAGUUGUAGUCUGGAGAAGUGCUUUCCGCGCUGGACCGUGUACAAGUCUCUUGGAACAGAGCGUCGUAAAGGGUGAGAAUCCCGUCUUUGACACGGACUACCAGUGCUUUGAGAUGCGCUCUCAAAGAGUCGAGUUGUUUGGGAAUGCAGCUCAAAAUGGGUGGUGAAUUCCAUCUAAAGCUAAAUAUUGGCGAGAGACCGAUAGCGAACAAGUACCGUGAGGGAA